Hibiscus syriacus is the source of this 450-nucleotide long non-coding RNA. RefSeq lists it as uncharacterized. The transcript has 3 exons. NCBI's taxonomy places the organism in Eukaryota, Viridiplantae, Streptophyta, Magnoliopsida, Malvales, Malvaceae. The record is from RefSeq and is a predicted model, not a curated record.
CGAAGAGAAAAAGAAACUAAAAGAAAUGAGGUUCGGCAGCGCGUUUAAGGUAGCUCGGAUUUUGCUUCUUCUGCUGGUUAUUUUCCCAUUCGUGAAUGCCAAGAAGUCAGGCGAUGUGACCGAGCUACAGAUCGGGGUCAUGCAUAGGCCCAAAUCAUGUGAAUUCCAGGCUCAUAAAGGUGAUAGAAUCAAAGUGCACUAUCGGGUAUGAUUGCUUCAACUUGAUUUUUAAUUUUGAUCAAUCUUGGAUUUUUUUAAUUUGGUGUUAAUAAAUGGGCUAAAAGAUUUUGAGAUUGCUGCAUGUCAACUUGUUUCAACAUUUCGGUCAUGGUUCCUUUCGUUUGAUUCUGAAAACAGGAAUUUGGUUUAGUAAUUUUCUGCAUUAUAUUUCAAAUUUCAGAGUAAAGUGCCAUAGAUUAGGAUAGUUUUGUGGGCAUCGUGUAUUGUGGU